CCUACGGGUGGCAGCAGUGGGGAAUAUUGCGCAAUGGGCGAAAGCCUGACGCAGCGACGCCGCGUGAGGGAUGAAGGUCUUCGGAUCGGAAACCUCUGUCAGCAGGGAAGAACGGUCACUGUGCUAAUCAGCAGUGAAUUGACGGUACCUGCAAAGGAAGCACCGGCUAACUCCGUGCCAGCAGCCGCGGUAAUACGGAGGGUGCGAGCGUUAAUCGGAAUUACUGGGCGUAAAGCGCUCGUAGGCGGUAUGUCAAGUCAAGGGUGAAAUCCCCGCGCUCAACGUGGGAACUGCCUUUGAUACUGGCAAUCUAGAGUGUGUGAGAGGAUAGUGGAAUGCCAGGUGUAGGAGUGAAAUCCGUAGAUAUCUGGCGGAACAUCAGUGGCGAAGGCGACUAUCUGGCACAUAACUGACGCUGAGGAGCGAAAGCGUGGGUAGCAAACAGGAUUAGAUACCCCUGUAGUC
RNAcentral lists this ribosomal RNA (465 nucleotides) under uncultured bacterium. RNAcentral describes it as "partial 16S ribosomal RNA". It matches the Rfam family "Bacterial small subunit ribosomal RNA", at positions 338 to 795 of the family's 1533-position model. The record is from RNAcentral.